GGAGAAACACAUUCACCAGUCUGGGAACACAAAUGCGACAUGCUGCAUGUAGAAACGCUGCUACAGUAAUUCACAGCCAGUUGAACUGAGACACUAAACCUGCUGAACCUGGAGAUCGUCCACUAGGGGCGCCACAGCGGAUCCGACCCAGAACUUCCCGCGUGCUUGGGGGAACAAAGUCAGAGAAGUGAACAUCUCCUAAAGCUUAUUUCUGACAUGUGGACUUCCCUAAUGAUCAGUUCUGCUCAUGAAAUUCUUACUCAACCAUCCAAGCUCAACACUGUCGAGUUUAUUUCAGUAAUAAAUCAGCUGAUGUGUAAACUAGGAGCGAGUUAGUAAGAUGGAGCACAGACAUGGCGUCUGCAGUGUGUAGUACUGAGGGUAUUAAACACCUCUGCUGUCGGAAGAGUUCAUAUCGGACAUGAUUAUAUAUAGAAAUAAAUAAAUAUAUUAUA
Molecule: long non-coding RNA, 455 nt
Organism: Ictalurus punctatus (channel catfish)
Lineage: Eukaryota; Metazoa; Chordata; Actinopteri; Siluriformes; Ictaluridae
Exons: 2
Source: RefSeq, a predicted model, not a curated record